Molecule: ribosomal RNA, 449 nt
Filed under: Mycobacterium tuberculosis
Lineage: Bacteria; Bacillati; Actinomycetota; Actinomycetes; Mycobacteriales; Mycobacteriaceae
Description: bacterial SSU rRNA
Rfam family: Bacterial small subunit ribosomal RNA
Source: RNAcentral
GUCCCGCAACGAGCGCAACCCUUAUCCUUUGUUGCCAGCGGUCCGGCCGGGAACUCAAAGGAGACUGCCAGUGAUAAACGGGAGGAAGGUGGGGAUGACGUCAAGUCAUCAUGGCCCUUACGACCAGGGCUACACACGUGCUACAAUGGCGCAUACAAAGAGAAGCGACCUCGCGAGAGCAAGCGGACCUCAUAAAGUGCGUCGUAGUCCGGAUUGGAGUCUGCAACUCGACUCCAUGAAGUCGGAAUCGCUAGUAAUCGUGGAUCAGAAUGCCACGGUGAAUACGUUCCCGGGCCUUGUACACACCGCCCGUCACACCAUGGGAGUGGGUUGCAAAAGAAGUAGGUAGCUUAACCUUCGGGAGGGCGCUUACCACUUUGUGAUUCAUGACUGGGGUGAAGUCGUAACAAGGUAACCGUAGGGGAACCUGCGGUUGGAUCACCUCCUUA